CUGCCCACCCUGGAAACGGCUC
RNAcentral lists this non-coding RNA (22 nucleotides) under Arabidopsis thaliana (thale cress). The record is from RNAcentral. Lineage: Eukaryota; Viridiplantae; Streptophyta; Magnoliopsida; Brassicales; Brassicaceae.